UAGUCUUACAAGGAUAUAGGCAAGGGGC
RNAcentral lists this small RNA (28 nucleotides) under Bombyx mori (domestic silkworm). Its description in RNAcentral is "piRNA piR-bmo-1951274". Lineage: Eukaryota; Metazoa; Arthropoda; Insecta; Lepidoptera; Bombycidae. The record is from RNAcentral.